UGGGGAAUAUUGGACAAUGGGCGCAAGCCUGAUCCAGCCAUACCGCGUGGGUGAAGAAGGCCUUCGGGUUGUAAAGCCCUUUUGUUGGGAAAGAAAAGCAGUCGGUUAAUACCCGAUUGUUCUGACGGUACCCAAAGAAUAAGCACCGGCUAACUUCGUGCCAGCAGCCGCGGUAAUACGAAGGGUGCAAGCGUUACUCGGAAUUACUGGGCGUAAAGCGUGCGUAGGUGGUUGUUUAAGUCUGUCGUGAAAGCCCUGGGCUCAACCUGGGAAUUGCGAUGGAAACUGGGCGACUAGAGUGUGGCAGAGGGUAGUGGAAUUCCCGGUGUAGCAGUGAAAUGCGUAGAGAUCAGGAGGAACAUCCGUGGCGAAGGCGACUGCCUGGGCCAAACACUGACACUGAGGCACGAAAGCGUGGGGGAGCAAAACAGGAUUAGAUACCCUGGUAGUCCACGCCCUAAACGAUGCGAACUGGAUGUUGGGUGCAAUUUGGCACGCAGUAUCGAAGCUAACGCGUUAAGUUCGCCGCCUGGGGAGUACGGUCGCAAGACUGAAACUUAAAGGAAUUGACGGGGGUCAA
RNAcentral lists this ribosomal RNA (580 nucleotides) under uncultured bacterium. RNAcentral's name for it is "partial 16S ribosomal RNA". It matches the Rfam family "Bacterial small subunit ribosomal RNA", at positions 355 to 923 of the family's 1533-position model. The record is from RNAcentral.